AGGUCAAGCCCAUCACGAGUGAGGCCACGCCCCCUUUGUGGGUCGCCGCGCGAGACUCCCGUUUUCAUCAACCAGACAGUUAGGAGGAGGACACAGCUUGAGAGGAGGAGACUGCUUUAAAAUUAGAGAGACAUUUCAAGUGUGUGCUCUUGGUGCCAACAACAUUGUUCUUUGCAUAAUUAUUCCCUUCUGACACAAAUAAUCUUGGCCAGAUAUUUUAGCACAGUACCAAAAGUAAGCACUGAGCAUAAAGAUAGAAAUUCUACUAAAACCACAAAACUGGGCGAGGAUCGGGUGGAGAUUAGCCAGCAAUGCCUUGUUAGAAGUGAUUUCACUUACAAAUAUCAUACUAGUAACAUAAAUGUCCACAAAAGUCAUCAUCUGACAAAAGUAACAAAAAUGAAAGAAUAUUGUACAGAAGAAAUAAAGCUGGGGUCUUCUUGAAGUUUCAUCUUAUAAUGGACUGAAGCUGCUUUAUGUUCAGUUUUAUGAGGUUUGUUUGGUGACCCCACAUCAAAGUCCACCCUCAUACCACAGUAACUAAUAAAACUUCGCAAUUUUUGUGGAGUGAAAAUUACCAUUUACUACCUGAUGCAGCAAGGGAAGCCACAAAAAAAAGAGAACCCAGCCCAACAAUUAUUACAUUUUGAUAAUCCUCCACUGCAAACUGCAAACCUAUUUUUUCAUGGAUCUUACUUCGUAAUGUACAUCCUGACUCAACCAAACUCCUGUCCUCAGCCUAUUCAAUUCUCUGCUCCCCUGCCGACAACGCCAAGGGGCGCCCCAAACCCAUGCACUUUGGCAGAAAUCUUGGCACUUGCCCCAGCAGAUGGAGUGUCAGCAAUAAGGUGCAGCUCUUGAUGAAGUUGGAAAACAAAAUGCGUUGGUCUGGGACCAGGAAAUGACUAGACCUGAUCAGGUGGAGGAGAAUCAGAGACCAGGAGGAAUCUAUAGUAUUUAGGUUCCGUGGUUCGGUGGGCUGGUGAAUUACCUGUAUUUGGAAACUUACACAUUUGGUACUAUUAAAGUUUUGUUUUUAAGCAU
Long non-coding RNA from Pseudophryne corroboree (corroboree frog), 1044 nucleotides. RefSeq lists it as uncharacterized. The record is from RefSeq and is a predicted model, not a curated record. NCBI's taxonomy places the organism in Eukaryota, Metazoa, Chordata, Amphibia, Anura, Myobatrachidae. The transcript has 5 exons.